UACGUAGGUGGCAAGCGUUGUCCGGAAUUAUUGGGCGUAAAGCGCGCGCAGGUGGUUUCUUAAGUCUGAUGUGAAAGCCCCACGGCUCAACCGUGGAGGGUCAUUGGAAACUGGGGGAACUUGAGUGCAGAAGAGGAAAGUGGAAUUCCAAGUGUAGCGGUGAAAUGCGUAGAGAUUUGGAGGAACACCAGUGGCGAAGGCGGCUCUCGUAGUACGGUACUGACGCUGAGACGCGAAAGCGUGGGGAGCGAACAGG
This 256-nucleotide ribosomal RNA is filed under the name uncultured bacterium. Its description in RNAcentral is "partial 16S ribosomal RNA". It matches the Rfam family "Bacterial small subunit ribosomal RNA", at positions 524 to 776 of the family's 1533-position model. The record is from RNAcentral.